This 61-nucleotide transfer RNA is filed under the name Ismarus sp. ZJUH_2016020. Its description in RNAcentral is "tRNA-Leu". The record is from RNAcentral. Lineage: Eukaryota; Metazoa; Arthropoda; Insecta; Hymenoptera; Diapriidae.
AUUAUUUUGGCAGAUUAUAGUGCAUUAAAUUUAGAAUUUAAAUAUAUAUAUAUAUAUAAAA